This 492-nucleotide ribosomal RNA is filed under the name uncultured bacterium. RNAcentral's name for it is "partial 16S ribosomal RNA". It matches the Rfam family "Bacterial small subunit ribosomal RNA", at positions 29 to 507 of the family's 1533-position model. The record is from RNAcentral.
AGUGAACGCUGGCGGUAGGCCUAACACAUGCAAGUCGAACGGCAGCACAGUAAGAGCUUGCUCUUACGGGUGGCGAGUGGCGGACGGGUGAGGAAUACAUCGGAAUCUACUUUUUCGUGGGGGAUAACGUAGGGAAACUUACGCUAAUACCGCAUACGACCUACGGGUGAAAGCAGGGGAUCUUCGGACCUUGCGCGAUUGAAUGAGCCGAUGUCGGAUUAGCUAGUUGGCGGGGUAAAGGCCCACCAAGGCGACGAUCCGUAGCUUGUCUGAGAGGAUGAGCAGCCACACUGGAACUGAGACACGGUCCAGACCCCUACGGGAGGCAGCAGUGGGGAAUAUUGGACAAUGGGAGCAAGCCUGAUCCAGCCAUACCGCGUGGGUGAAGAAGGCCUUCGGGUUGUAAAGCCCUUUUGUUGGGAAAGAAAAGCAGCAGGUUAAUACCCCGCUGUUCUGACGGUACCCAAAGAAUAAGCACCGGCUAACUUCGUG